RNAcentral lists this long non-coding RNA (402 nucleotides) under Physcomitrium patens. RNAcentral describes it as "long non-coding RNA (PPAT_LNC011288)". The record is from RNAcentral. Lineage: Eukaryota; Viridiplantae; Streptophyta; Bryopsida; Funariales; Funariaceae.
GGAGUUUUAAUUUGUCUCUCUUAGUAUUGAUCUUGUAUUCAUCUAGUUUAAUCAACACCUUGCUAAUUUUCUUAUUGAAAUUCUUUUGUUCAACUUCUGUUCAAUCUCUUCUAUAAUAUAUCCAUGAAAGUUUAUCAAGACUGCCUUCUUAUCAAUAUUAGAGCUUGAUCUUUCUUCAUAGAGAGUAGAUUAUCCUUCUUCUUGAAGGCAUCUAAGCACUUUAGAAGUUGUGAAAUAUCCUCUUUUAAAUUGGUAUUAUUUAGAUUUUCUUUUUUUCUUUUAAGAUAGUUGAAGAUGUGUCACGGACACAAAAUACAGACUUGAAAUCUAACAAGAAGUUCAAGAAGAAGUGGCAGAACUAAAUUAAACAGAUGAGUACAAGAACAAUACCAGAAAGGUGAG